AGGGUUUGAUCAUGGCUCAGAACGUACGCUGGCGGCACGCCUAACACAUGCAAGUCGAACGAAGUAGCAAUACUUAGUGGCAGACGGGUGAGUAACAUGUGGGUAUCUGCCCUAUGGCCUGGAAUAACACGAGGAAACUUGUGCUAAUACCGGAUAAGUCUUUACGGAGAAAGCUUUAUGCACCAUUGGAUGAGCCCGCACUUGAUUAGUUUGUUGGUGGGGUAAUGGCCUACCAAGACUGUGAUCAAUAGCUGAUUUGAGAGGAUGAUCAGCCACAUUGGGACUGAGACACGGCCCAAACUCCUACGGGAGGCAGCAGUGGGGAAUCUUGCACAAUGGAGGAAACUCUGAUGCAGCGAUGCCGCGUGAGUGAAGAAGGCCCUUGGGUUGUAAAGCUCUUUCGUCGGGGAAGAAAAUGACUGUACCCGAAUAAGAAGGUCCGGCUAACUUCGUGCCAGCAGCCGCGGUAAUUC
Molecule: ribosomal RNA, 473 nt
Filed under: uncultured bacterium
Lineage: Bacteria
Description: bacterial SSU rRNA
Rfam family: Bacterial small subunit ribosomal RNA
Source: RNAcentral